This 497-nucleotide ribosomal RNA is filed under the name uncultured bacterium. RNAcentral describes it as "partial 16S ribosomal RNA". It matches the Rfam family "Bacterial small subunit ribosomal RNA", at positions 28 to 507 of the family's 1533-position model. The record is from RNAcentral.
GAUGAACGCUGGCGGCGUGCCUAAUACAUGCAAGUCGAGCGAACGGACGAGAAGCUUGCUUCUCUGAUGUUAGCGGCGGACGGGUGAGUAACACGUGGAUAACCUACCUAUAAGACUGGGAUAACUUCGGGAAACCGGAGCUAAUACCGGAUAAUAUUUUGAACCGCAUGGUUCAAAAGUGAAAGACGGUCUUGCUGUCACUUAUAGAUGGAUCCGCGCAGCAUUAGCUAGUUGGUAAGGUAACGGCUUACCAAGGCAACGAUGCAUAGCCGACCUGAGAGGGUGAUCGGCCACACUGGAACUGAGACACGGUCCAGACUCCUACGGGAGGCAGCAGUAGGGAAUCUUCCGCAAUGGGCGAAAGCCUGACGGAGCAACGCCGCGUGAGUGACGAAGGUCUUCGGAUCGUAAAACUCUGUUAUUAGGGAAGAACAUAUGUGUAAGUAACUGUGCACAUCUUGACGGUACCUAAUCAGAAAGCCACGGCUAACUACGUG